Molecule: ribosomal RNA, 500 nt
Filed under: uncultured Alphaproteobacteria bacterium
Lineage: Bacteria; Pseudomonadati; Pseudomonadota; Alphaproteobacteria
Description: bacterial SSU rRNA
Rfam family: Bacterial small subunit ribosomal RNA
Source: RNAcentral
GCACAAUGGGCGAAAGCNUGAUGCAGCCAUGCCGCGUGCGUGAUGAAGGCCUUCGGGUUGUAAAGCGCUUUUAGGUGCGACGAUGAUGACGGUAACACCAGAAAAAGCCCCGGCUAACUUCGUGCCAGCAGCCGCGGUAAUACGAAGGGGGCAAGCGUUGUUCGGAUUUACUGGGCGUAAAGGGCGUGUAGGCGGAUGAUAUAGUUAGAGGUGAAAGCCCAGGGCUCAACCUUGGAACUGCCUUUAAUACUUAUUAUCUAGAGUUUGUGAGAGGGUGGCGGAAUAUCCAGUGUAGAGGUGAAAUUCGUAGAUAUUGGAUAGAAUACCAGUGGCGAAGGCGGCCACCUGGCACAACACUGACGCUGAGGCGCGAAAGCGUGGGGAGCAAACAGGAUUAGAUACCCUGGUAGUCCACGCCGUAAACGAUGUAUGCUAGUUGUCGGGUUAUUUUUAACUCGGUGACGCAGCUAACGCAUUAAGCAUACCGCCUGGGGAGUACG